RNAcentral lists this small RNA (192 nucleotides) under Arabidopsis thaliana (thale cress). Its description in RNAcentral is "ATSL208430". The record is from RNAcentral. Lineage: Eukaryota; Viridiplantae; Streptophyta; Magnoliopsida; Brassicales; Brassicaceae.
AAAAAUAUUAUUAAAAAGAAAAAGAACAAUUUGAUUUUUAGUUAUCACAUGACGGAUUUAUAUGGCGAGAUGGGUUUAGAGGAGACGAGUUUACAUGGUAGGACGAGUUUGGAUGAGACGAGUUUAUUUGGUGCUAUGAGUUUAGAUGGGACAAAUUUGGAUACCACGGUGUACUCCUAGAAUUAACAAUUA